GUGCCAGCAGCCGCGGUAAUACGUAGGUGGCAAGCGUUAUCCGGAAUUAUUGGGCGUAAAGCGCGCGUAGGCGGUUUUUUAAGUCUGAUGUGAAAGCCCACGGCUCAACCGUGGAGGGUCAUUGGAAACUGGAAAACUUGAGUGCAGAAGAGGAAAGUGGAAUUCCAUGUGUAGCGGUGAAAUGCGCAGAGAUAUGGAGGAACACCAGUGGCGAAGGCGACUUUCUGGUCUGUAACUGACGCUGAUGUGCGAAAGCGUGGGGAUCAAACAGGAUUAGAUACCCUGGUAGUCCACGCCGUAAACGAUGUCUGCUAGUCGUUGGGGGGCGCAGCCCUUCAGUGACGCCGCUAACGCAUUAAGCAGACCGCCUGGGGAGUACGGCCGCAAGGUUAAAACUCAAAUAAAUUGACGG
Molecule: ribosomal RNA, 412 nt
Filed under: uncultured Staphylococcus sp.
Lineage: Bacteria; Bacillati; Bacillota; Bacilli; Caryophanales; Staphylococcaceae
Description: bacterial SSU rRNA
Rfam family: Bacterial small subunit ribosomal RNA
Source: RNAcentral